UGCGUAGGCGGACUAAUAAGUCAGUGGUGAAAUCUCUCGGCUCAACCGGGAAACUGCCAUUGAUACUGUUAGUCUUGAGUUCGGUUGAGGUAGGCGGAAUGUGUAAUGUAGCGGUGAAAUGCUUAGAUAUUACACAGAACACCAAUUGCGUUGGCAGCUUACUAGACCGACACUGACGCUGAGGCACGAAAGCGUGGGUAGCGAACAGGAUUAGAUACCCUGGUAGUCC
RNAcentral lists this ribosomal RNA (229 nucleotides) under uncultured bacterium. Its description in RNAcentral is "partial 16S ribosomal RNA". It matches the Rfam family "Bacterial small subunit ribosomal RNA", at positions 568 to 796 of the family's 1533-position model. The record is from RNAcentral.